This 210-nucleotide long non-coding RNA is filed under the name Lathyrus oleraceus (garden pea). Its description in RNAcentral is "Pisum sativum (pea) long non-coding RNA (PSAT_LNC005094)". Lineage: Eukaryota; Viridiplantae; Streptophyta; Magnoliopsida; Fabales; Fabaceae. The record is from RNAcentral.
UCUAUCAGGACACGACACAGAAUAUUUUUGAAUUUGAAAAAACGCGUAAACGGUCGUCUUCAACCUUCCAACAUUCAAAAUCAAACUCAAAAGCAUGUGUUUUUGACCAGAUUAAAGCAUGGUGAUAACUUGCAAACAUGAAAACAAAUCAUCCUCCACACUCAUGAAUCAUUUAUUGGCUCUGAGUGUGGAGUAUUUAUCCAAGAACCA